This 433-nucleotide ribosomal RNA is filed under the name uncultured bacterium. RNAcentral describes it as "partial 16S ribosomal RNA". It matches the Rfam family "Bacterial small subunit ribosomal RNA", at positions 29 to 507 of the family's 1533-position model. The record is from RNAcentral.
AACGAACGCUGGCGGCAUGCCUAACACAUGCAAGUCGAACGAGACCUUCGGGUCUAGUGGCGCACGGGUGCGUAACGCGUGGGAAUCUGCCCUUGGGUUCGGAAUAACAGUUGGAAACGACUGCUAAUACCGGAUGAUGACGUAAGUCCAAAGAUUUAUCGCCCAGGGAUGAGCCCGCGUAGGAUUAGCUAGUUGGUGGGGUAAAGGCCUACCAAGGCGACGAUCCUUAGCUGGUCUGAGAGGAUGAUCAGCCACACUGGGACUGAGACACGGCCCAGACUCCUACGGGAGGCAGCAGUGGGGAAUAUUGGACAAUGGGCGAAAGUCUGAUCCAGCAAUGCCGCGUGAGUGAUGAAGGCCUUAGGGUUGUAAAGCUCUUUUACCCGGGAUGAUAAUGACAGUACCGGGAGAAUAAGCCCCGGCUAACUCCGUG